UCCAUGACCUGCCAUCUAGUCGAAACUCACGAUAGAGGAACAAAAUCAUACGUUAACUACACCUAGAAGUUUAUUUCAGUUCUAUUGGGUUGUCACUACAUACUACUAGAUAUCACUGAUGGAUUGUGAGAGCUUAUUAGGAUUGUUCUGAUCGAUAAUCCUUGAUGAGUUAGAAUAAAAUUAUUCCAAUCCAUUGAAAAGAGUUUCAAUGAUACUUUGAUAGAGAUCAUUGUAUAUCUCACUACC
Molecule: long non-coding RNA, 246 nt
Filed under: Elaeis guineensis (African oil palm)
Lineage: Eukaryota; Viridiplantae; Streptophyta; Magnoliopsida; Arecales; Arecaceae
Description: long non-coding RNA (EGUI_LNC016756)
Source: RNAcentral